GGCCGAGCCGCCGCCGGAGCCGGAACGGGCGCGUGGCGCCGCUUCCGCCGGCGGGGCUGGUGGUGCCCGCGGGGGAGGCCGGGCAAGGCCGCCGAGACUGCAUGCGUUCGGAGCGGCUGGGCCCUGUGCGGCACGCUCAGGACUUUUAUAACGGAGGGUGUUCUGCAGAGAAAAAGUUGUUUGAGUUCCAUCUUGUCCAGGACUGGUUUCCUCUCUGCUGUCACCAUGGCAAUGUCACUUAGAACUGCAUGGUCCAGCCUCCUUUGGAUGCGUUCAGCAGCAACCUGUAGGCAGGUCCCACUGCAGAAUGGAGCUGUGUAUCAUGCUUGCCAUAAAUCUACAUACUCAGUUCUCCCUGAAGACUACAAUUGCAAAGUGGAACUUGCAGUGACAUCCGAUUCGAAGACAAUUGUCUGCUACCACCCUUCGCUUGAGAUUCCAUACGAGCAUACAAAACCCAUACCACGGCCAGAUCCAGUGAAUAAUAAAGAAGAAAACCUUGAUCAAGUUUUAAAAUCCAGAUUGAAUGAAAAUGAGCUAAAGAACAGUAGAGGUCCUACAAUUGAAGAGCUUAGCAAAAUGUUUUACACAACAAAACAUCGUUGGUAUCCUGUGGGACAGUAUCAUAGAAGACGCAAGAAUCCUAAUCCUCCUAAAGACCGAUAGCGAAGAUAACUUCUCGUUCAUCAGGACUAUGCUGUUAAUUUUGAUUGGAAAUAAAAGUUACAGAAGGUCUCAAGCAACUGUCUUUGUUUCUCUUCACUUGAAAACUUGGAAUUCAGACUUCAUCCACUUGAUUAUUGUUCUACUUCCAUGCAAAAAAAAAAAAAUUUUUUUUUGAAAGUUAGUUUGGGAUUUCUGUUUUCUGCUGCCCUUGUUCUUUUUAAUUGAAAACUUAAGUUGUGUAAAAUUCACAGUGUUAAGUCUGUUCUGGCACUUUGUAUCCCAGUUUGGGCACUUAGCCAUUUGUUUUGUACCUAGUAGCUAUUGAGUUCCAGAGCAUCUUAGGCUCACUGCUGAGGAUAGUAGACAGUCGGGUACAUCUUACUGAGGGAUUUUUGGUUUUCAGAUGUCUCACUAAAAGUCUCCUCAGGCCUUGCUUGGCUUGCAUGCCAUUAGAAAACUCUGUUUCAGUCAUGUAUCAAAAAUUUUGCCCUUACCUUGCAGAAUCACAGAAUUGUUAGGUUUGGAAGGCACCUCUGGAGAUUAUAUCGUCCAACAUUUCUGCCAAGGCAAGGUCACCUGCAGCAGGUGACAGGAACACAGCCAGGUGCAUUUGGAAUGUCUACAGAGAAAACUCCACAAUCUCCUUGGACAGCCUGUUCCAGUGCUCCCGCACAGGAAUUCAGACCAUUUAAAUCGCAGUUCAAUUAAUCUUGGUGCCUAGUGAAAAGAAUUAUUUCCUCUCCUCUAAUUAUCCCCAGAUUAAACCAAAACGGAUGCUUUUAAGCCGGUGUUUUCCCUUGGGUGAGCGCGGCGGGAGCUGCCGUGCAGGCGGUGCGUGGCCCCGCCGGGAGGCAGCACCGCCCGGGGCCAGAGCGGGCCGGGCUCCGCGGGCAGCUUUAGCCGGACAGGCGGCCGUGGGCUGCUCCCGUAGUGACACUCGGGAGCACUGCGGCAAAGGCAGCUCCCUAGCACCUCCCAAAGGCCUUGCAUUUCAAAGGGCAAAGGUUUUUUUUGCCUGUUUGCUUUAAGUUUUGUAGGGUGACUCAGAGACAAAAAAAAAUCUCCACCAUCCCAGUCUGAGGAAAAAGUAAGUCGACAGUGGGGCAGUAAUGUGACCCAUGUGACAGGUGUCAUGACUUUGUUUCACUUCCCCAUGAUUGCAGUGAAGGCAGCAGUUACCCACCUGCCCAUCCACCCACCCAUCCUGCCCUCCCUCCCCACCCCUCCUAUUAAGUUCCAUAGGAAACUUCUCUCUUGCUGCUGUUAUAAUCGGUCUGAACUUCAUCUGUCAUGUCCAAGCUCUGCUGUACCACAAUAAAUUGUUGUGGCAGGUCAUUAUAAGCCACAGUACUGACUGCUUCUCAAAGCCAGCAAUGUAUUUCUCAGUUUCUCCAGCCUAUGAAUUUUAGCAGCUUCUCUGCUGUAAUUUCUCACAUGCUCAUUCCAUUCUCAAAGCCAAAAUGAAGUUAUAAAAUGGAGAGAUAAAAUAGAUGUAGGCUGUAUUCCUCAUCCGUAAUAGAUGAUGUAUGUUUUAUUUUAAUGUUACAAUAUAACAAAAUUGACCUAGAGAAAACCCACUAGUCACCAAUAUAAAGGAACAAGUUGUGUACCUAUGAUACAUAAAAUUUGGGAUUAUCUCCAAGAUUGAGACAGAUACUAAUUAGGCAUUAACUGAGUUAAUCUUCACAGGCUCCCCUUAUGGUCAGUCAACUGAAAAAGUACAUGCACAGGGCAGUUGAUCUUAUUUUAACAUUUUAUUGUCUAGAAUAUGUCACACAAUUCUCCUGUGAAGAUGCUUUUUCCUUUUCUGUGAAGGGAGGAUGAAGAUGUUUUUAUCAAUAUUGGGGCCUUUCUCUUUUUUUUUUUUUUUUUUUUUUUUUUUUUAAUUUAGGAGCACAACUAUGCAAAAUAAUCUUAAAAUUCAGAUAAAACCAUUUUUGAUGUUUCUGCUAGCCUUCAAUAGUAUAAAGUCUGUAUAUAGGAGCUCUAUAGGAGUUUUCUGUAUAGAGUAAUUCACACACAUUUAAUUUGUAAAUGUACACUGUGUAUGAGAUUUUAAUCUCACCUUGUAUUUAAUCAACCCUGUUAUGCUAAAAAUAAUAAGCUGUUUGGAGAAAUAAGAUAUUUAUUUAUAUAUCUUUCUGAUACCUCUUAUGAAAUGAGUCUAUUAUUUCAACUUUUAUCUUUAGGUACUUCUACAAAAACAAACAUGAUAAAUUAUGAUUUACUGGGCAAUUUGCAUGGAAUUAUCUGAAACUUUAAAUACAGUUGAUACAGAAUUUUAGUUCCACUGUGUAUAACUGCAGUUGUUGGAACACUGCAGAUCAGACAGUGGGAGGUAUGUCGAAGCUGGAUGAACUAAACAGCUUGUUUGGUCAGCAAUUUUGCAUCUCCUGGCUUCUGGAGAAGUAGAAGUUUAUGGCCUGGCAUGCCACUUCAUUAAAGGUCAUGAUGUAGGUGUAUGUAUCACAAAGUUUUUCAUUUUGUAGAGGCAACACAAGAUGUUGGCACAGCUAAGAAGGUUGCCAACUGGUCUUUAUGAAACAUAAAUACAGAAAAAAGUUAUGCUUAUAUUCAGCUUUACUACUUGACAAGAUGAAAAACAGUGUCAGGUCAGAGGCAAUUUACCUUUUAAAUAAGACCAGUUUUGACUGCUACCAAUGUUUAAUUACUCAGCAAAAGGAUCCCCCUACCAGCAAAAUAUGAGAAGAUUUUAAAAAUUCUGCAAGAACUGGUUUUUAGCAUCUCUUCUGGUAAUACUAAUAAAAUGUUGACCAUGAAAGUUACAGAGGAAAAUUAAAAGAACAGUGAAAAGUUAGUGCACUAAGCCAUUACCAUGUUGAAUAAAAAUUAACCUAAGUAAAAGA
Onychostruthus taczanowskii (white-rumped snowfinch) is the source of this 3533-nucleotide RNA transcript. It is a transcript of the gene named mitochondrial ribosomal protein L42, with no coding region annotated. The record is from RefSeq and is a predicted model, not a curated record. The transcript is spliced from 7 exons. Lineage: Eukaryota; Metazoa; Chordata; Aves; Passeriformes; Passeridae.